Molecule: non-coding RNA, 1752 nt
Organism: Arachis ipaensis
Lineage: Eukaryota; Viridiplantae; Streptophyta; Magnoliopsida; Fabales; Fabaceae
Source: RefSeq, a predicted model, not a curated record
UUAAGGAGGUUUUUGAAAGUUUGGAUUUAACUGGGUAUGAAUUAUUUUUCUACUGAAUUUUCAUCUAAUGACUUGUAUAAAGAUGCUUGCAUAAGUCGUUUCGGAGGAACAAUUGAGUGCUGCUGAAAUGGGACAAAGAAUUAAGCUAUUACAAGAAGAUAGGUUCCUCUUGAGCUUCCAUUUUCAAAGGGAGAAGCCAUGGAUGAUCCAACUUGCCUCUGUUACUUGCAUCUCUUUGGCUGCUAAAGUUGAAGAAACUCAAGUGCCUCUUCUCUUGGACCUUCAAGUACAUAUUUUUUUUCUCCUUUAUAUCAGAAAACUCAUCAUGAUGUAUCUAAUAAUGUGAUUAUUUGAUCAUGAAUCAUCAUUAAAUUGAACACUUUUGAGGAUUUAAUUUAGCUUGUGUCGUACACUUGUUUAAUAGACUUAAGUUUUGGAAGAGCAGGAAAUUGUUUCUGUUAGGAAAUUAACCAACUGGAUAAACCCUUGGGGGGAAAAAAUUAAAUUGUUGCUGCUGGUGCUGGAUUAUCCUUAGUUGACUCAGUGGUGAUCUCUCAACCUGGCUUAUCUCUGUAAGUUGAUUGCAUUUGUUGUUUAGAAUCGCGGUGAUCAAAGAGCAAAAAGAGAGAAUAUGCAGAAAGCGAAGAAUAUGAAAAUUUACUAGAAUAAGAAAAAUGGUUAUUACAAUUUGGUCUACAAUUUGAUCAUGUAGUAAUAACUAAUCUUGAUUUACAACUCAUAUCAAAGUGAUAAACUUCUAUAUAUGCUAAUAGCAUUUUCUAAAUUCAUGGCUUACUUAUUUUUUUUAGUUAUUUAUUAUUAUUUUUUUAAUGAAAAUGUGCAUCUUUGUCUGUUAUUAACUUAGUUGUAGGCCGAUUUUUUGCCUUUGAGAAAGCUCACAAGUUGGACCCUAGUUCAAGUGGUUGAGGUGUUCGCCAAUUCAAAACUGCACUUCUCCAACGCCUGAAAAGAGUAAGUGCUAGUGUGUUUGUCUUCACCAUAAUCUGUUUGUUCUAGAUAUGCAUGUUCUGCAUUAGUUUGCUUUUUGGGGAAAUGGACUUUGUAUAUUGUCAUGGGUGCUGAUUGAGAUAAUUCUUGGUAUACUGUGUUGUACCUUUUUCUCUUCUCAUAGAUAAAGUAUGGAACUAUUAUUAACCCACUAAAAGAUAUGCUGUUGAAAGCUGAACUUGGGUCAGUUCUUGCUAAUUUAUGAAUUCUGCAUUGUUUACAAACAGCAGUUUCUUUCUGUGUUGAAGUCUUGAAGAGGUCUAAUAUCUAAUUUAUAAUUAUUUUUGUCAUGGUUUAAGGAUGACAUAUCAUUAUGAAUAUUUCUAGUAUAGUGGUAUGUCAAUAUAGAAUGCAUUGUUGUAUCUACAUUUAUUUAGCAGGUGGAGUGGAACUGUUUCUGCUGUUGUUUCUAUGGAGGUUAGCUUCAGAUACAUCAUAUGGUCACAUACAACUUCCUUUCUUUUUUUUCUAUGCACAUAGUCACAUACACUUACCAGUUACGACCCUGUUUAUUAAUGGGCCUUGUUGCCUUAGUGCCUUGCAUAUUCGUUUUCAUUAGUUUAUGAAGAAAAAGUAAAAUUGGUGAAAAUAAUAAAAAUUUAUAUUUUGUUAUUAAUUUAUCUUUCACAAAAUCCUAGAAUUAGAAAACAUUGAAAUAUGAAAACAAACUCUUGACUUUAUUUUCAUUAACCUGAACGAGGAAUUGCAUGAAUAUAAACAUGACCGGCACUCAUUUAAUUGAUU